Long non-coding RNA from Oncorhynchus tshawytscha (Chinook salmon), 285 nucleotides. Lineage: Eukaryota; Metazoa; Chordata; Actinopteri; Salmoniformes; Salmonidae. The record is from Ensembl.
UAUCAGUAGCAGAUCAGUAGCAGAGCAGUAUCAGUAGCAGUAUCAGAUCAGUAGCAGAGCAGUAUCAGAGCAGUAUCAAUAUCAGUAGCAGAUCAGUAGCAGAGCAGUAUCAGUAUCACAGUAUCAGUAUAGCAGUAUCAAUAUCAGUAUCAGAUCAGUAGCAGAGCAGUAUCAGUAUCAGAGCAGUAUCAGAUCAGUAUCAGAGCAGUAUCAAUAUCAGAGCAGUAUCAAUAUCAGAGCAGUAUCAGUAUCAGAGCAGUAUCAGUAUCAGAGCAGUAUCAGUAU